GUGCUCACUUUGGCAGCCCAUAUACUAAAACUGGAGCAAUAUGGAGAAGAUUAGCAUGGCCCCUGUGUAAGGAUGACACACAAAUUCAUGAAGGUUCCAUAUUUUU
This is a small nuclear RNA of Ursus maritimus (polar bear), 106 nucleotides long. NCBI's taxonomy places the organism in Eukaryota, Metazoa, Chordata, Mammalia, Carnivora, Ursidae. The record is from Ensembl.